Molecule: ribosomal RNA, 500 nt
Filed under: uncultured bacterium
Lineage: Bacteria
Description: partial 16S ribosomal RNA
Rfam family: Bacterial small subunit ribosomal RNA
Source: RNAcentral
AUUGAACGCUGGCGGCAUGCUUUACACACGCAAGUCGAACGGUAACAGGGUGCUUGCACCGCUGACGAGUGGCGAACGGGUGAGUAAUGCGUCGGAACGUGCCGAGUAGUGGGGGAUAACGCAGCGAAAGUUGUGCUAAUACCGCAUACGUACUGAGGUAGAAAGUGGGGGACCUUCGGGCCUCACGCUAUUCGAGCGGCCGACGUCUGAUUAGCUAGUAGGUGAGGUAAAGGCUCACCUAGGCGACGAUCAGUAGCGGGUCUGAGAGGAUGAUCCGCCACACUGGGACUGAGACACGGCCCAGACUCCUACGGGAGGCAGCAGUGGGGAAUUUUGGACAAUGGGCGAAAGCCUGAUCCAGCCAUGCCGCGUGUCUGAAGAAGGCCUUCGGGUUGUAAAGGACUUUUGUCAGGGAGGAAAUCCCUAGUGCUAAUAACACUGGGGGAUGGCAGUACCUGAAGAAUAAGCACCGGCUAACUACGUGCCAGCAGCCGCGGUAA